This 314-nucleotide ribosomal RNA is filed under the name uncultured bacterium. RNAcentral describes it as "bacterial SSU rRNA". It matches the Rfam family "Bacterial small subunit ribosomal RNA", at positions 344 to 657 of the family's 1533-position model. The record is from RNAcentral.
GGAGGCAGCAGUGAGGAAUAUUGGUCAAUGGCCGAGAGGCUGAACCAGCCAAGUCGCGUGAGGGAUGAAGGUUUAUGGAUCGUAAACCUCUUUUAUAAGGGAAUAAGUGCGGGACGUGUCCCGUUUUGUAUGUACCUUAUGAAUAAGGAUCGGCUAACUCCGUGCCAGCAGCCGCGGUAAUACGGAGGAUCCGAGCGUUAUCCGGAUUUAUUGGGUUUAAAGGGAGCGUAGAUGGAUGUUUAAGUCAGUUGUGAAAGUUUGCGGCUCAACCGUAAAAUUGCAGUUGAUACUGGAUAUCUUGAGUGCAGUUGAGG